This 253-nucleotide ribosomal RNA is filed under the name uncultured bacterium. Its description in RNAcentral is "partial 16S ribosomal RNA". It matches the Rfam family "Bacterial small subunit ribosomal RNA", at positions 524 to 776 of the family's 1533-position model. The record is from RNAcentral.
CACGUAGGGCGCGAGCGUUGUCCGGAAUUAUUGGGCGUAAAGAGCUCGUAGGCGGCCUGUUGCGUCCGCUGUGAAAGCCCGGGGCUUAACCCCGGGUCGGCAGUGGGUACGGGCAGACUAGAGUGCGGUAGGGGAGACUGGAAUUCCUGGUGUAGCGGUGAAAUGCGCAGAUAUCAGGAGGAACACCGGUGGCGAAGGCGGGUCUCUGGGCCGAUACUGACGCUGAGGAGCGAAAGCGUGGGGAGCGAACAGG